GUGCCUAAUACAUGCAAGUCGAGCGAACAGAUAAGGAGCUUGCUCCUUUGACGUUAGCGGCGGACGGGUGAGUAACACGUGGGUAACCUACCUAUAAGUCUGGGAUAACUUCGGGAAACCGGAGCUAAUACCGGAUAACAUUUGGAACCGCAUGGUUCUAAAGUGAAAGAUGGUUUUGCUAUCACUUAUAGAUGGACCCGCGCCGUAUUAGCUAGUUGGUAAGGUAACGGCUUACCAAGGCAACGAUACGUAGCCGACCUGAGAGGGUGAUCGGCCACACUGGAACUGAGACACGGUCCAGACUCCUACGGGAGGCAGCAGUAGGGAAUCUUCCGCAAUGGGCGAAAGCCUGACGGAGCAACGCCGCGUGAGUGAUGAAGGGUUUCGGCUCGUAAAACUCUGUUAUUAGGGAAGAACAAACGUGUAAGUAACUAUGCACGUCUUGACGGUACCUAACCAGAAAGCCACGGCUAACUACGUGCCAGCAGCCGCGGUAAUACGUAGGUGGCAAGCGUUAUCCGGAAUUAUUGGGCGUAAAGCGCGCGUAGGCGGUUUCUUAAGUCUGAUGUGAAAGCCCACGGCUCAACCGUGGAGGGUCAUUGGAAACUGGGAAACUUGAGUGCAGAAGAGGAAAGUGGAAUUCCAUGUGUAGCCGUGAAAUGCGCAGAGAUAUGGAGGAACACCAGUGGCGAAGGCGACUUUCUGGUCUGUAACUGACGCUGAUGUGCGAAAGCGUGGGGAUCAAACAGGAUUAGAUACCCUGGUAGUCCACGCCGUAAACGAUGAGUGCUAAGUGUUAGGGGGUUUCCGCCCCUUAGUGCUGCAGCUAACGCAUUAAGCACUCCGCCUGGGGAGUACGACCGCAAGGUUGAAACUCAAAUGAAUUGACGG
Molecule: ribosomal RNA, 891 nt
Filed under: uncultured Staphylococcus sp.
Lineage: Bacteria; Bacillati; Bacillota; Bacilli; Caryophanales; Staphylococcaceae
Description: bacterial SSU rRNA
Rfam family: Bacterial small subunit ribosomal RNA
Source: RNAcentral